GUCUCUGAUUGUUUAUUGAAAAUGACAGUUGUCAAUCAUACUAGUAUUGAAUCAAAACCCACUUACCUAAUCCAAAUGUUUUUAAAAAAGCCUGCACAUUGCAUAUCAACACACCUUAUGACAUACAUUCUUGAAUGACCUGCUCCAAUAAUAUACUCAUUUUUUCAGUUUAUAUGUGUAUUAUGUGCACAUACAUCAUAACCAUAUAUAGG
This 212-nucleotide long non-coding RNA is filed under the name Mytilus galloprovincialis (Mediterranean mussel). The record is from RNAcentral. Lineage: Eukaryota; Metazoa; Mollusca; Bivalvia; Mytilida; Mytilidae.